GUUAGUUAAUUUAAAUAAUUAACUUACCAUAAUUGUUCAUAUUUGAUGAUUAAUAUUAAUAUAAUAAUUUAAAUAAAACGCGCGUUCGUAACUUUCUUGGAUGACUCCCUGGCCUCGCGCAAGGCUCCCUGUCGUCUCUGAGCGCCUUCGUCUAGUCUUUCUAGGCUCCUUGGACGCAGCGGCGUCCCGAGCGCUUCCCGAGCGGCGGCGCUGUGGCCGGCGGGGCUGCUCGUCGCUGCGCCCCGCACAGGCCGUUCCUCUGCUCUCGGCCGUGCGGUGCCCGGGGCGGAAGCCCUGCAGCUGGAGACUGGCUUCCGCCUGCCAGUGGGCAGGAGGGGCGGCAGGUGGCGGUGGUGCUGGUGGGGAAGGGUGACCGACGUGACCUCUCCUGGAAGGUUUUCAGGAUGCACGUGUUGACUUUUGACUUCCAAGUCCCAAAGCUCGCUUCAGUAGUUCCAGGCGGUUAUGACGGUGGCUCGCUGGCCUGAAUGAUCUUAAUCACGAAAGCACUUGUGUACAGCUUUAUAAUUCGACGUCUGUAUGCACUACACAGCGCUCCCCGCCACCGCCUGCUUCCCACCCUCACCGCGCCGCCCACGCGCGGUGGUCAGCUGGCCGGCCGGCGCGGCGCUGGCUGGUGGCCUCCCCGAGACACGCAGGCACCGAGACUUCCGUGGGGACCGAGGCGUCCGGGUCCUGCCCCUCACUCCUCCCUCUGCUCGUGGCCCUGACGGACCAGGACCAAAUGUGUGCCGCUUGGUGGCCGCGGAGCUCCAUGAUGGCUGAGCUGCACCAGCCGAUGCUAUCUGUGAGCCUGUCCUGCGACCGCAAUGGCUCCUCCACGGCAGCAAGCUCGCUCUGAAGUCUCGAAGCUGUGUGGCGGCGGCCAUGGGGCCGUGGGGGAGGUGCCGGGGACAGGAGCCAGCAAUGUGUGAACGCAGGCCUCGGCAGCGAAGGACGUCCUGACUCUUGAGAGAAAAGGGAGAAGUUGCAAUGUCUGAAAAAAUGUUUGACACCUUCUUUAAUGCAUAGUGUGGAUUCAGCACCUUUGAGCUCACAGCCUGAACGACAGUCGUCUAGCACGUCUCCUUUUUCCUUGAGGUACAUCCCAGCCCUCUGGCCCUUAGGAAGACCGUACACACUUCAACACUCUGCUUGGGGCCAUUUUAAACAGUGACAUCACCAACAAAAAGCACAAAAAUGCAAAAACAAGGGCACUAGGUAGACUGUGAAACGGACACGUUUACAGCAUGAGAGCUGAACCAAGGAGGUGGAGCAUCAUCUUUCUCAACCUCACCUGAGACCACGUGCACCAGGAGACUCUGCGUUGUUACAGUUCUGCACACGUCCACGAAUGAGCCUGAAAACUCUGAGGACACUGAUUUUGGGGUUACAAAUGAAUUUUAUCGAGUAAGAGAAUUUGCAAAUAUGCAAUCCGUCAAUUAUGAGGAUCGACUAUAUAUUGAUGAAACCAACGUGCAUUUUUAAGCUCUCCUGAUUCUGGGUAAUGAUUAUUAUUUGGUAAUUUAAUUUUUGGUCUUAUGUAAUGUCAAAGCAAAGAUAAUUACCAUUUAAAAAAUUAACUGCAUUUAUACAGUGUUUUGUUAAUAAAGACAGAUGG
Equus caballus (horse) is the source of this 1621-nucleotide long non-coding RNA. The record is from Ensembl. Lineage: Eukaryota; Metazoa; Chordata; Mammalia; Perissodactyla; Equidae.